This 1267-nucleotide long non-coding RNA is filed under the name Prunus dulcis (almond). RNAcentral describes it as "sRNA ncRNA". Lineage: Eukaryota; Viridiplantae; Streptophyta; Magnoliopsida; Rosales; Rosaceae. The record is from RNAcentral.
AUGGCUCCCUUAGCAAUCUUCACCGUCUCCUUAUGCUGCUGCUGCUGCUUCUUCUUCUUCUUCUUCCCACAUAAAGUAGCAAGCGCUACCAACUGUGUUGAAUCAACAUGCACACCGGCCGGCGCACGGGUUCGAUUUCCUUUCUGGCUAAGAAACCUUCAACCCUCAAGUUGUGGAUAUCAAGGGUUUGAUCUCUCAUGCAACAACCAAACCAUUCUCACUCUCCCAUCUUCCGGGGACUUCUUCGUCAAGACCAUUAGCUACAGGGACCAAAUCGUAUGGCUCAGCGACCCCGAUAACUGCCUCCCUAAGCGGUUCCUUGACGAUGACGUCAGUCUUCAAGGUACACCCUUCUUAUUCGCUCAGGACCUUGAGACAUACACUUUCCUCAACUGCUCAGCAUCCCAAGCAACAGAGUCUUCAGCCAUCCCUUGCCUCAGUAGUGACUCUUACGACGUCAUUAUCGUGGCAUCGGGUUGGUCAACGUCGUUGUCAACGGCUAAUCAUGCAUCGUCAUCAUCUCUCUGCUCUGUGAUUUCGACAGCUCUGGUUCCACCAAGUUUGGUUGAGGGAUAUCUUAGCUCUAGUCUCCAGUUGGCUUGGAGUGUGCCUGAUUGUAGUUCUUGUGAAGCAAACGGUAUAAUUUGUGACUUGGACAAUGCUACAAGUUCACAAACUAUAUGUUCUCGUUCAAAAUCAGGUAUAAUUGAACAUAUAUUUCUACAUACCAUCGCCUAAAUAUUAUUGCAGAAAAUUUGGUUUAAUGAACUAAGGAAAAUUAAUGCAAUUCAAUUUUCCAAUUUCAGGUCCGUCAGGUCCGUCAGGUCCGUCAGGUCUUUCAAGCGCUGCAAAGAACGGCAUAAUGAUAGGUGUGGGAAUUCCAGCGCUAUUUUGCGUCAUUGGGCUUUCUUUUUAUUUUCACAACAGAAUGAGGGCUCCUGAUCAGCUCCGUCAACCCGUAUCUGCCGAUGUACCCAAUCGGCAACCUCCGGGGCUCGCAAUAUCGGGUCUUGAUGGUCCGACCAUCGAGUCAUAUCCCACAACUGAGCUUGGUGAAACUUGGGAACUGCCAUAUCCCAAUGACAACACUUGCCCAAUAUGUUUGGCUGAGUACCAGGCCAAGGAAACAUUGAGGGCUAUGCCAGAAUGUAACCAUUAUUUUCAUGCUAGUUGUAUAGACGAAUGGCUCAAAAUGAAUGCGACGUGCCCGCUUUGUCGAAAUCCACCAGAGGCCAGCAAAAUAAUAAGUCCUGUGAUUGAGACAUGA